AUUCUACUCCCUCCGUCCCGAAUUACUUGUCUUAGAUUUGUCUAGAUACGGAUAUAUCCAACACUAAAACGUGUCUAGAUACAUUUGUAUCUAGAUGUAUCUAGACAAAUACAAGACAAGUAAUUUGGGACGGAGGUAAUACUAU
Non-coding RNA from Hordeum vulgare subsp. vulgare (domesticated barley), 145 nucleotides. Lineage: Eukaryota; Viridiplantae; Streptophyta; Magnoliopsida; Poales; Poaceae. The record is from Rfam.